GGUGAGGCGGUCGAAACCAUGCCUGUCGAUGUGCAGGAUACCGCCCGCAAACUUAUACUCGCACACCAUA
RNAcentral lists this small nucleolar RNA (70 nucleotides) under Rothia aeria F0474. Lineage: Bacteria; Bacillati; Actinomycetota; Actinomycetes; Micrococcales; Micrococcaceae. The record is from RNAcentral.